Molecule: ribosomal RNA, 236 nt
Filed under: uncultured bacterium
Lineage: Bacteria
Description: partial 16S ribosomal RNA
Rfam family: Bacterial small subunit ribosomal RNA
Source: RNAcentral
UGAGGAAUCUGUCCAUCGGCGGGGGAUAGCCGGCCCAACGGCCGGGUAAUACCGCGUACGACCACAUGGGGGACAUCCCUGAGUGGUGAAAGCAGCAAUGCGCCGAUGGAGUGCCUCGCGGCCUAUCAGCUAGUUGGUGAGGUAACGGCUCACCAAGGCAACGGACGGGUAGCUGGUCUGAGAGGACACCAGCCCACACUGGAACUGAGAUACGGUCCAGACCUCGUACGGGGAGG